GAGUUUGAUCGUGGCUCAGAUUGAACGCUGGCGGCAUGCCUAACACAUGCAAGUCGAACGGCAGCACUGGGAGCUUGCUCCCUGGUGGCGAGUGGCGGACGGGUGAGUAACGCGUAGGAAUCUGCCUCAUAGCGGGGGACAACUCGGGGAAACUCGAGCUAAUACCGCAUACUACUCGAGAGAGGAAAGCAGGGGACCUUCGGGCCGUUGCACUAUGAGAUGAGCCUGCGUUGGAUUAGCUAGUUGGUAGGGUAAA
RNAcentral lists this ribosomal RNA (256 nucleotides) under uncultured microorganism. Its description in RNAcentral is "partial 16S ribosomal RNA". It matches the Rfam family "Bacterial small subunit ribosomal RNA", at positions 9 to 261 of the family's 1533-position model. The record is from RNAcentral.